Molecule: ribosomal RNA, 501 nt
Filed under: Triticum aestivum (bread wheat)
Lineage: Eukaryota; Viridiplantae; Streptophyta; Magnoliopsida; Poales; Poaceae
Description: partial small subunit ribosomal RNA
Source: RNAcentral
AUGCAAGUCUUGUUGGAAGUCAUGUAUGAAGGUCAACGUGACCUCCUGUCCAACCAAACUUAUAAUCUUGACCAACUUGCUUUCGCAUCAGACAGAAUUAAAGAUGCUCAACACACUAUGACUGCAAUGAAGGCUGCCAAUAAAGAGCUGAAAGGGAUGAUGAAGACUGUCAGGAUUGAAGAUAUAGAUAGCAUGCAAGACGAGAUGAUGGAUCUUAUGGAUGUGAGCAAUGAAAUACAAGAAACUCUUGGUAGAAGCUACAAUGUCCCAGAUGACAUCGAUGAGGAGGAACUUAUGGGCGAGCUUGAUGCUUUGGAAGCCGAUAUGGACUUUGAGUCGAAUUCAGUCCCAUCGUAUCUCCAACCAGACAAGGAGACUGAUCUUGAUUCUGAGCUUAACCUACCUGCUGCACCAAGUGGUCAUGCAGCAGUCCUAGCGAACCGGCAGCAGGAGGAUGAACUGGGACUGCCUACCGUGCCGCACGCAUCAAUUCGUACCUGA